Molecule: long non-coding RNA, 676 nt
Organism: Oncorhynchus tshawytscha (Chinook salmon)
Lineage: Eukaryota; Metazoa; Chordata; Actinopteri; Salmoniformes; Salmonidae
Source: Ensembl
AGUGAUGGAAAGUAGGUUGUUGUUAUGGAGGGAACAGGGGAGCAAGGUGGGGAACAGGGGAGCGAGGUGGGGAACAAGGGAGCGAGGUGGGGAACAGGGGAGCGAGGUGGGGAACAAGGGAGCGAGGUGGGGAACAGGGGAGCGAGGUGGGGAACAAGGGAGCGAGGUGGGGAACAGGGGAGCGAGGUGGGGAACAGGGGAGCGAGGUGGGGAACAGGGGAGCGAGGUGGGGAACAGGGGAGCGAGGUGGGGAACAAGGGAGCGAGGUGGGGAACGGGGGAGAGAGGUGGGGAACAAGGGAGCGAGGUGGGGAACAGGGUAACGGGGCCAGCAUCGACAGAGAGAUGGGGAACAGGGGAGUGGGGCCAGCAUCGACAGAGAGGUGGGGAACAAGGGAGCGAGGUGGGGAACAGGGUAACGGGGCCAGCAUCGACAGAGAGGUGGGGAACAGGGGAGCGGGGCCAGCAUCGACAGAGAGGUGGGGAACAGGGGAGCGGGGCCAGAAUCGACAGAGAGGUGGGGAACAGGGGAGCGGGGCCAGAAUCGACAGAGAGGUGGGGAACAGGGGAGCGGGACCAGCAGGGCAAGGGAGGUCCUGUGUGGCUGGGAGCAUCCUGUCGUGUCCCUGGGUGGUUGGGGUGAUGGACGGCCCAGCCCGGUGGUGGCAAGGUGGGAC